AUUGAACGCUGGCGGCAUGCUUUACACAUGCAAGUCGAACGGUAACAGGGAGCUUGCUCCGCUGACGAGUGGCGAACGGGUGAGUAAUGCAUCGGAACGUACCCAGUCGUGGGGGAUAACGUAGCGAAAGUUACGCUAAUACCGCAUACGUCCUGAGGGAGAAAGCGGGGGACCGUAAGGCCUCGCGCGAUUGGAGCGGCCGAUGUCGGAUUAGCUAGUUGGUAGGGUAAAGGCCUACCAAGGCGACGAUCCGUAGCGGGUCUGAGAGGAUGAUCCGCCACACUGGGACUGAGACACGGCCCAGACUCCUACGGGAGGCAGCAGAGGGGAAUUUUGGACAUGGGCGAAAGCCUGAUCCAGCCAUGCCGCGUGAGUGAAGAAGGCC
Molecule: ribosomal RNA, 385 nt
Filed under: uncultured bacterium
Lineage: Bacteria
Description: bacterial SSU rRNA
Rfam family: Bacterial small subunit ribosomal RNA
Source: RNAcentral